Molecule: ribosomal RNA, 156 nt
Filed under: Triticum aestivum (bread wheat)
Lineage: Eukaryota; Viridiplantae; Streptophyta; Magnoliopsida; Poales; Poaceae
Description: rRNA 5_8S_rRNA
Rfam family: 5.8S ribosomal RNA
About the family: 5.8S ribosomal RNA (5.8S rRNA) is a component of the large subunit of the eukaryotic ribosome. It is transcribed by RNA polymerase I as part of the 45S precursor that also contains 18S and 28S rRNA.
Source: RNAcentral
GACUCUCGGCAACGGAUAUCUCGGCUCUCGCAUCGAUGAAGAACGUAGCGAAAUGCGAUACCUGGUGUGAAUUGCAGAAUCCCGCGAACCAUCGAGUCUUUGAACGCAAGUUGCGCCUGAGGCCACUCGGCCGAGGGCACGCCUGCCUGGGCGUCA